RNAcentral lists this ribosomal RNA (558 nucleotides) under uncultured bacterium. RNAcentral's name for it is "bacterial SSU rRNA". It matches the Rfam family "Bacterial small subunit ribosomal RNA", at positions 358 to 916 of the family's 1533-position model. The record is from RNAcentral.
GGAAUAUUGGUCAAUGGGCGCAAGCCUGAACCAGCCAUGCCGCGUGCAGGAAGAAUGCCCUAUGGGUUGUAAACUGCUUUUAUUUAGGAAUAAACCUUUCUACGUGUAGAAAGCUGAAGGUACUGAAUGAAUAAGCACCGGCUAACUCCGUGCCAGCAGCCGCGGUAAUACGGAGGGUGCAAGCGUUAUCCGGAAUCAUUGGGUUUAAAGGGUCCGCAGGCGGGCGUAUAAGUCAGUGGUGAAAUCCUGCAGCUUAACUGCAGAACUGCCAUUGAUACUGUACGUCUCGAAUUCGGUCGAAGUGGGCGGAAUGUGUAGUGUAGCGGUGAAAUGCAUAGAUAUUACACAGAACACCGAUAGCGAAGGCAGCUCACUAGGCCUGGAUUGACGCUCAGGGACGAAAGCGUGGGGAUCAAACAGGAUUAGAUACCCUGGUAGUCCACGCUGUAAACGAUGAUUACUCGUUUUCGGCGAUAUACUGUCGGAGACUAAGCGAAAGUGAUAAGUAAUCCACCUGGGGAGUACGAUCGCAAGGUUGAAACUCAAAUGAAUUGACGG